This 300-nucleotide ribosomal RNA is filed under the name Breviceps montanus (mountain rain frog). RNAcentral's name for it is "partial 16S ribosomal RNA". It matches the Rfam family "Bacterial large subunit ribosomal RNA", at positions 1947 to 2355 of the family's 2925-position model. Lineage: Eukaryota; Metazoa; Chordata; Amphibia; Anura; Brevicipitidae. The record is from RNAcentral.
CGUGCGAAGGUAGCGUAAUCACUUGUCUACUAAAUAUGGACUAGUAUGAAUGGCACCACGAGGGUUACACUGUCUCCCAACUUCAAUCAGUUAAACUGAUCUCCCCGUGAAGAAGCGGGGAUUUUAUUAUAAGACGAGAAGACCCCAUGAAACUUUAAACUAAGAAUCAACUGCUAAACCAAACACCCUAAAAAUACAGCAACUAUGACCUCAAAGUUUUCGGUUGGGGCGACCACGGAGUACAACAAAACCUCCACGAUGAAUGAAUAUUAAAUUCUUACCCAAGAGUCACACCACAAA